Molecule: ribosomal RNA, 480 nt
Filed under: uncultured bacterium
Lineage: Bacteria
Description: partial 16S ribosomal RNA
Rfam family: Bacterial small subunit ribosomal RNA
Source: RNAcentral
GACGAACGCUGGCGGCGUGCUUAACACAUGCAAGUCGAACGAGGUCCAUGGUGCUCGCACCGGAAGACCUAGUGGCCAACGGGCGAGGAACACGUGAGAAACCUGCCCCGGACGGCGGGAUAACAGUUGGAAACGACUGCUCAUACCGAAUACCGCUGCGGAGCCGCAUGGCUCUCCCACGAAAGAAUUUCGGUCCGGGCAGGUCUCGCGGCCUAUCAGCUAGUUGGUGGGGUAACGGCCUACCAAGGCACCGACGGGUAGCUGGUCUGAGAGGACGAUCAGCCGCACUGGGACUGAGACACGGCCCAGACUCCUACGGGAGGCAGCAGUGGGGAAUCUUCCGCAAUGGGCGAAAGCCUGACGCAGCAACGCCGCGUGCGGGAAGACGGCCUUCGGGUUGUAAACCGCUUUCAGCAGGAACGAAAAUGACGGUACCUGCAGAAGAAGGUGCGGCCAACUACGUGCCAGCCGCCGCUGUAA